This 265-nucleotide long non-coding RNA is filed under the name Homo sapiens (human). Its description in RNAcentral is "HSALNT0349913". The record is from RNAcentral. Lineage: Eukaryota; Metazoa; Chordata; Mammalia; Primates; Hominidae.
CCCAAAAGGGUUAACUGACCUGCCUGGGAGAUGGGAAAGAGAGAUACACCACAGUCCAAGAUACAGUUGCUGCUGGAAAAAGAAAUCGCUGAAAUCCCAAAACACCCCUUUCAAAAUAUCUAGGCUUUCAAAGCCGUGUCUUUCCUUCUCCCCUCUCUUAGACGUGAGGAAUGAGAGAUGUGUGUGUGUGACACAUCCAACUGGAAUCUGCAAAUCACUGAUCCUUUAAAACCUAUUUUUGUAAAUACCAAUAAAACAAGUCUUG